UAUAUAUUCUCUAAUUACAGAUCAGACACGAGAGCAUCCAGCAGUUUGAGCAGCAGGCAGGAAAGCCUAAGAGAUGCCUUAUACACACCCCAGAAAGAGCUCAUCACAGAAGAAGCCAAGUAUCACUCUCUGGCAGAUACAGCCCAUAAAUUAAAGAUGCAAAAUGGAGAGAUGACAAAAGAGGAUGGAUAGAUUGCUUCAGCCCAGACUACUCCACAUGGCACACUCCAUUCUCUUCCUAAGCAAAAGCUCAGAUGCUAGUUUACUUUUGGCCUAGAUGUCAGCAGCAUGGAUUCUGGAAGUGGAUAUAGGCACAGAAAUGAAGCCUUUUGGGACCAAGAACCCUGCAAAAAUCUGAUUCAGAGUACCCAGCACUGGGAUUUUGUAAGUGUUCUGCUAAUAGAGAAUCUUAUAUUGAAAGAAGAUGCUAAGAAUCAAAAGACCUGGAUUCUGGUCCUGACUGAUCCUUACUAGGUGUGUGACUUUGGAAAAACAACUGACUUGGGACAGUCAUGUUCUCCAAACCUUAGUGUCCUCAUCAGAAAAAUGGAGCUUAGAAGACUCACUUUGCUUCUGUUUCAAGCCUUCUGAAAGGAUCAGAUGGAUACCAAAUGUAUGCUAAACCACUUUGAGAGCAGAAACAUUCCAUUUAAAUGUGAAAGAAAGCAUUUUGAUGAUAAUAAUGGGACAUCCAGGGACUCAGCUGAUACAUGAAUGAAAAGACCUGCCUUCCAUUCAGAUUAUGGUGUCAUAGAUGUACAUCUGGAAACCAAGUCAGAAAUAUGCUAAGGCUUGAGUUUUGCUAAAGAUUCCUGCCCUUGACUCCAACAUCAAUACUCCAUCUGGGGAACUUUAGGAACAACUUGGAAUACAGUGUCUGAAUCCCAUUUUGGUGCUGUGAGAUUAUAUAGGAACAUAGAAGUAGAGUUGGAAGAGCCUGACAAAAUUGUCUAGUUUAACUCCUUUGUUUUAUAGGAAUAGGAGGUGAUGCUCAGGAAGACUGUGUGAUUGGUCAGCAGUCACACAAGUAGGAAGUUUCAGGUAUAUGGGACUUGAAUCCACUUCCUGAGACCCAGCUUGCUAGCUCAGUUAAGUGCCCCUGGUGCU
Molecule: long non-coding RNA, 1107 nt
Filed under: Monodelphis domestica (gray short-tailed opossum)
Lineage: Eukaryota; Metazoa; Chordata; Mammalia; Didelphimorphia; Didelphidae
Description: lncRNA (ENSMODG00000051468.1)
Source: RNAcentral